Molecule: transfer RNA, 75 nt
Filed under: marine sediment metagenome
Description: tRNA-Asp
Rfam family: tRNA
About the family: Transfer RNA (tRNA) molecules are approximately 80 nucleotides in length. Their secondary structure includes four short double-helical elements and three loops (D, anti-codon, and T loops).
Source: RNAcentral
GGCCUCGUGGUGAACUGGCUAUCAUGGCUGCCUGUCGAGCAGCAGUAGAGGGAUCGAACCCCUCCGGGGCCGCCA